This 277-nucleotide ribosomal RNA is filed under the name uncultured bacterium. RNAcentral describes it as "partial 16S ribosomal RNA". It matches the Rfam family "Bacterial small subunit ribosomal RNA", at positions 28 to 297 of the family's 1533-position model. The record is from RNAcentral.
GACGAACGCUGGCGGCGCGCUUAACACAUGCAAGUCGAGCGAGAACCGGCCCUUCGGGGCCGGGGACAGCGGCGAACGGGUGAGUAACACGUGGGUAAUCUGCCCUCGGCAUCGGGAUAGCCCGGGGAAACCCGGAUUAAUACCGAAUGGCCCAUCCGCUCUUCGGGGCGGCUGGAAAAGGUAGCGUUCAGCCUCCGGCCGAGGAGGAGCCCGCGGCGGAUUAGCUUGUUGGUGGGGUAACGGCCUACCAAGGCGACGAUCCGUAGCUGGUCUGAGA